UGUAAANCANAUACGCNUGUCUNAAANUUUAACCCANGCAAGUNUAAGUUUAAGCACAUACGCGGCGAAUCUGCGAAUGGCUCAUUAAAUCAGUUAUCGUAUAUUUGAUAGUACCUACUACAUGGAUAACCGUGGUAAUUCUAGAGCUAAUACAUGCUAAAAAUCCCGACUUCGGAAGGAAUGUAUUUAUUAGAUUAAAAACCAAUGCCCUUCGGGGCUCACUGGUGAUUCAUAAUAACUUCUCGAAUCGCAUGGCCUUGUGCCGGCGAUGGUUCAUUCAAAUUUCUGCCCUAUCAACUUUCGACGGCUGGGUAUUGGCCAGCCGUGGUUACAACGGGUAACGAAGGGUUAGGGCUUGACCCCGGAGAAGGAGCCUGAGAAACGGCUACUACAUCCAAGGAAGGCAGCAGGCGCGCAAAUUACCCAAUCCCGAUACGGGGAGGUAGUGACAAUAAAUACUGAUACAGGGCUCUUUUGGGUCUUGUAAUUGGAAUGAGUACAAUUUAAAUCCCUUAACGAGGAACAAUGGAGGNNNNNNNNNNNNNNNNNNNNNNNNGGUAAUUCAGCUCCAAUAGCGUAUAUUAAAGUUGUUGCAGUUAAAAAGCUCGUAGUUGAACCUUGGGCCUGGUUGGCCGGUCUGCCUCACCGCAUGCACUGGUCCGACCGGGUCUUUCCCUCUGUGGAUCCGCAUGCUAUUCAUUUAGUGUGUCGGGGAAACAGGACAUUUACUGUGAAAAAAUUAGAGUGUUCAAAGCAGGCAUAUGCUCGAAUACAUUAGCAUGGAAUAAUAGAAUAGGACGUGUGGUUCUAUUUUGUUGGUUUCUAGGACCGCCGUAAUGAUUAAUAGGGACAGUCGGGGGCAUCAGUAUUCAAUCGUCAGAGGUGAAAUUCUUGGAUCGAUUGAAGACUAACUACUGCGAAAGCAUUUGCCAAGGAUGUUUUCAUUAAUCAGGAACGAAAGUUAGGGGAUCGAAAACGAUCAGAUACCGUUGUAGUCUUAACCAUAAACUAUGCCGACUAGGGAUCGGACGAUGUUAUUUUUUGACUCGUUCGGCACCUUACACGAAAGUAAAGUUUUUGGGUUCU
RNAcentral lists this ribosomal RNA (1086 nucleotides) under Plagiostoma euphorbiae. Its description in RNAcentral is "partial small subunit ribosomal RNA". It matches the Rfam family "Eukaryotic small subunit ribosomal RNA", at positions 15 to 1115 of the family's 1831-position model. Lineage: Eukaryota; Fungi; Ascomycota; Sordariomycetes; Diaporthales; Gnomoniaceae. The record is from RNAcentral.